Molecule: ribosomal RNA, 400 nt
Filed under: phytoplankton environmental sample
Lineage: Eukaryota
Description: partial small subunit ribosomal RNA
Rfam family: Eukaryotic small subunit ribosomal RNA
Source: RNAcentral
AGCUCCAUUAGCGUAUAUUAAAGUUGUUGCAGUUAAAAAGCUCGUAGUUGGAUUUCGGUGUGGGCCAGUGGGUCGGCCGCGAGGCCUGUUACUGACUGGUCCGCUCUUCCUCUCAAAGACUGCGCGUGCCCUUCGCUGGGUGUGCGUAUUUGGAUUUGGGACGUUUACUUUGAAAAAAUUAGAGUGUUCAAGGCAGGCUCUGGCCUGAAUACAUUAGCAUGGAAUAAUGGAAGAGGACCUCGGUCCUAUUUUGUUGGUUUCUGGGGCCGAAGUAAUGAUUAAGAGGGACAGUUGGGGGCAUUCGUAUUUAAUUGUCAGAGGUGAAAUUCUCGGAUUUAUGAAAGACGAACAACUGCGAAAGCAUUUGCCAAGGAUGUUUUCAUUAAUCAAGAACGAAAGU